Molecule: long non-coding RNA, 230 nt
Filed under: Setaria italica (foxtail millet)
Lineage: Eukaryota; Viridiplantae; Streptophyta; Magnoliopsida; Poales; Poaceae
Description: long non-coding RNA (SITA_LNC006782)
Source: RNAcentral
GGUAAUAUCUUUUUAAGUACCUCCCAUUCAGAGCCCUAGUGAAUUCUUCUCCCUCUAUUGUUUCUAAGAUAUAGGCAUUUCCUGGAGCGCAUCUGCCGAUUUUAUACGGCCCUUCCCAGGUAGGAGACCAUUUGCCGAAUUUAGGAUCUUUCGACCCGAUCGGUAGUACCAAUUUCCAUACCAAGUCUCCGGGGGAGAACUGCUUGACUUUGACUUUUUUAUCGUACCAU